CAGUCGCCACGGUAAUACGUAGGUGGCAAGCGUUGUCCGGAAUUAUUGGGCGUAAAGGGCUCGCAGGCGGUUUCUUAAGUCUGAUGUGAAAGCCCCCGGCUCAACCGGGGAGGGUCAUUGGAAACUGCGAAACUUGAGUGCAGAAGAGGAGAGUGGAAUUCCACGUGUAGCGGUGAAAUGCGUAGAGAUGUGGAGGAACACCAGUGGCGAAGGCGACUCUCUGGUCUGUAACUGACGCUGAGGAGCGAAAGCGUGGGGAGCGAACAGGAUUAGAUACCCCAGUAGUCCCUGUCUCUUAUAC
RNAcentral lists this ribosomal RNA (301 nucleotides) under uncultured bacterium. Its description in RNAcentral is "partial 16S ribosomal RNA". It matches the Rfam family "Bacterial small subunit ribosomal RNA", at positions 509 to 807 of the family's 1533-position model. The record is from RNAcentral.